GAGUUUGAUCCUGGCUCAGAUUGAACGCUGGCGGCAUGCCUUACACAUGCAAGUCGAACGGCAGCACGGGAGCUUGCUCCUGGUGGCGAGUGGCGAACGGGUGAGUAAUGCAUCGGAACGUAUCCUGGAGUGGGGGAUAACGUAGCGAAAGUUACGCUAAUACCGCAUAUUCUGUGAGCAGGAAAGCGGGGGACCUUCGGGCCUCGCGCUCUUGGAGCGGCCGAUGUCGGAUUAGCUAGUUGGUGAGGUAAAGGCUCACCAAGGCGACGAUCCGUAGCAGGUCUGAGAGGAUGAUCUGUCACACUGGAACUGAGACACGGUCCAGACUCCUACGGGAGGCAGCAGUGGGGAAUUUUGGACAAUGGGGGCAACCCUGAUCCAGCCAUGCCGCGUGAGUGAAGAAGGCC
Molecule: ribosomal RNA, 407 nt
Filed under: bacterium enrichment culture clone ALO1_GLFRUDD03GV5F6
Lineage: Bacteria
Description: bacterial SSU rRNA
Rfam family: Bacterial small subunit ribosomal RNA
Source: RNAcentral